GAUGAACGCUGGCGGCGUGCCUAAUACAUGCAAGUCGAGCGAACGGACGAGAAGCUUGCUUCUCUGAUGUUAUCGGCGGACGGGUGAGUAACACGUGGAUAACCUACCUAUAAGACUGGGAUAACUUCGGGAAACCGGAGCUAAUACCGGAUGAUAUUUUGAACCGCAUGGUUCAAAAGCGAAAGACGGUCUUGCUGUCACUUAUAGAUGGAUCCGCGCUGCAUUAGCUAGUUGGUAAGGUAACGGCUUACCAAGGCAACGAUGCAUAGCCGACCUGAGAGGGUGAUCGGCCACACUGGAACUGAGACACGGUCCAGACUCCUACGGGAGGCAGCAGUAGGGAAUCUUCCGCAAUGGGCGAAAGCCUGACGGAGCAACGCCGCGUGAGUGAUGAAGGUCUUCGGAUCGUAAAACUCUGUUAUUAGGGAAGAACAUAUGUGUAAGUAACUGUGCACAUCUUGACGGUACCUAAUCAGAAAGCCACGGCUAACUACGUG
RNAcentral lists this ribosomal RNA (497 nucleotides) under uncultured bacterium. Its description in RNAcentral is "partial 16S ribosomal RNA". It matches the Rfam family "Bacterial small subunit ribosomal RNA", at positions 28 to 507 of the family's 1533-position model. The record is from RNAcentral.